AACGCGAAGAACCUUACCUGGAUUUGACAUCCUCUGACAUCCGUAGAGAUACGGCCUUUGUAGCAAUACAACAGAGAGACAGGUGCUGCAUGGCUGUCGUCAGCUCGUGUGGUGACAUGUUGGGUUAAGUCCCGCAACGAGCGCAACCCUUGUCCUUAGUUGCCAGCAUUAAGUUGGGCUCUCUAAGGAGACUGCCGUGGUGAACACGGAGGAAGGUGGAGAUGACGUCAAGUCCUCAUGGCCCUUAUGCCCAGGGCUACACACGUGCUACAAUGGACGGUACAAAGGGUUGCAAAGCCGCAAGGUCGAGCCAAUCCCAAAAAACCGCCCUCAGUUCGGAUUGUAGUCUGCAACUCGACUACAUGAAGCUGGAAUCGCUAGUAAUCGCCGAUCAGCACGCGGCGGUGAAUACGUUCCCGGGCCUUGUACACACCGCGCAUA
Molecule: ribosomal RNA, 441 nt
Filed under: uncultured bacterium
Lineage: Bacteria
Description: bacterial SSU rRNA
Rfam family: Bacterial small subunit ribosomal RNA
Source: RNAcentral